Molecule: long non-coding RNA, 2089 nt
Filed under: Medicago truncatula (barrel medic)
Lineage: Eukaryota; Viridiplantae; Streptophyta; Magnoliopsida; Fabales; Fabaceae
Description: long non-coding RNA (MTRU_LNC003856)
Source: RNAcentral
GGAUUAGGACUAUACCGGUACAUGUCGUUGUCUGUGUUUGUGUCCGUGCUUUAUAGGUGAUACAUAGUUGAAUAGUAAAAUCUUUUUUUUUUUACAAAAGUUGAAUAGUAUAAUCAUAUAAGAUUAUGAAAUUGUAAUAUAUUGUUGAAUAGUAAAAUAAUAUAACAUUUUGUAAUACAUUGUUUAAGAAAACAAACCUGAAACCACAUUUUUUAAUUAGUUAAAGAUUAUAGGUAUUAGCAUGAUUGCACAAAAUAGUCUUUCUUAUUUAGGUAUUUACACAAACCCUAAUUUAAUUUGAUUGUCUUUAUCAUAGACAGCUAAAGGAAACUAGUCUACAAAAUCUUAUUAUUUAGAUUGUUUUCAUAGACAGCUAGAAGAAACAAAGAGCAGUAAAAAGAUAGAGGACUAGAUUCUAUUUUUGUUUUCAACAAGUUUCUUGCACGAUAGUUAACCCUAUUUGAGGCAUUGUGUUACACUAAAUGUGAAAUUUCGUUUGUGUGCACUCAAAACAUAUCAUGUAAUUACACACUCGGUACAUUCCUGGUUCUUCGAUUAAAAUCGGACAAGUCAAAUUUCAACCUCAAUAUUAUAGAUUUUAAAAUGUAUUCAAAACCUGCAACGUCCGAUCUUAAUUCAACAACUAUCGAUGUGUCAACUGUGUUAAUGCACGAGAUUUUGACUGCAUGCAAUCCAAAUCCCUAAAUGUGGAUAACUCUCUCCCUCGGAAUUCAAAUUUUAGUUCGCCACAUUAUGGGUUACUACCUAUUCGCUAGACCCAAUAUCGGUUAGUGGAAUAGUUCAUAUUCAAACAAUGGGUAUUACUAAGUAAAGUAGAACAAGUAACCAUUUUACGGUCGUUUCUGAAGAGAUUUGAACUCAAGUUAGUUGAAGUUAAAAGAUCAAACUCUUAUUACUGAUGUGACAUAUGAUUGAGAAAUAGUGUCUUAAAUAUAUUUAUAUAGACCUUCAUUAUUUAUUUAAAAGCACAAUACAAAUUUGCAUUCCCUUCACAAGAAGACAUUAUUUCUGAAAACUCAAACCUCAUCACAAUGUCUUGGUUCCUUACAAUUCUGUUUCUCAGUCUCACAUUUGGUACUAAUUUUUCAGAAGCAAACCAUGACAACAAGAAGCUUCUUCCUUCACCUGUUGUAGUUGGCACUGUCUACUGUGACACAUGUUUUCAACAAGCUUUCUCUCUAAACAGCCACUUCAUUUCAGGUAAUCCAUUUCAACCUCAAAAGGGUACUUCAAUUUUAUAUCUCUUAAAAUGUUGUAAAAUUUUUCUAAACCUUAUCAUAUUUUAUUUUGUCCUUGUUUUUAUGUAUAGGUGCAUCAAUAGCUGUUGAAUGCAAAAUAGGAAAAACAAAACCAAGAUUCUAUAAAGAAGUGAAAACAAAUGAACAUGGAGAAUUCAAAGUGAAACUACCUUUCUUAGUGAAGAAACAUGUGAAGAGAAUCAAAGGGUGUAAUUUUAAGUUGUUAAGUAGUAAUGAACCAAAUUGUGCUAUAGCCUCAACUUCUACUUCAUCUUCACUAAGCCUAAAGAAAAAGUUGCAACAAGAACACAUUUUUUCAGCUGGGAUUUUCUCAUUCAAGCCUAUAAAAAAACCAAAAUUUUGUGACAAAAAACAUAGUAUUCAUAACCUUAAGAAACAACAUAGUUAUGUGAAAAAUUUGGAACAAUCAAAAUUUUCAAGCAAAAAUAAAGUACCUAAUGAAGUUGAAGAUUUCUUCUUUUUUCCUCCAAACCCUUUUUUUCCACCACCUAUUAUCCCUAAUCCACUUCAACCUCCACCUUUGAUUCCUAACCCUUUGCAACCACCACCUUUGAUUCCAAAUCCAUUUCAACCACCAAGUCCACCCUUGAUUCCUAAUCCAUUUCAACCACCAAGUCCACCACUUAUUCCAAAUCCAUUUCAACCUCCUCCAUCAAAUCCACCACUUAUUCCUAAUCCAUUUCAACCUCCCCCAGCAAGUCCUCCACCACUCAUUCCAAAUCCAUUUCAGCCUCCACCAUCAAGUCCACCACCAUCAUUUCCUUUUCCACCAAUAGUAAUACCAGGUUUAACUCCAUCACCACCGCCGC